Molecule: ribosomal RNA, 412 nt
Filed under: Toxocara vitulorum
Lineage: Eukaryota; Metazoa; Nematoda; Chromadorea; Rhabditida; Toxocaridae
Description: partial 12S ribosomal RNA
Source: RNAcentral
ACCUAGAUAGUUUUUGAUUACUUUUAACUUUAGGGUAAAAUUAGAAGUUGUUUGUAUUUGUGUCUUGUGUUUUUAGAUUUGUUGAACGACCCAGAUUAGUACCUGGUUAGACAAAAGUUAAAAGAGCAGGAGUAAAGUUAUAUUUAAACUGUAAGAAUAUUGGCAGGUCUUUAAAUUAUCUUUGGAGGCUGAGUAGUAAUUGAGAGCCCUCAUUAUCAGCCUGUGUUGUAGGCUCAUGUAUGAUCGUUUAUUUUAUCCCUAAAGGGUUGUAAUGUUAGUUUGGUUGCUGUAAAAAUAGAUAUAUACUUGGUUGAUGCACAGGAUUUAAUUUGGCCUACAAUAGUUUAUGGUGUGUGGAUUUUAAUCGUAGUGGUUAUUUGAAAUUGUAAAAGACAGUAAAUUCUUUUAUGGA